Molecule: ribosomal RNA, 516 nt
Filed under: uncultured bacterium
Lineage: Bacteria
Description: bacterial SSU rRNA
Rfam family: Bacterial small subunit ribosomal RNA
Source: RNAcentral
AAGCCUGACGCAGCAACGCCGUGUGAGUGACGAAGGCUCUCGGGUCGUAAAGCUCUGUCAGAAGGAACGAACACCUGUUUGGAACAAUACCCAGGCAGUUUGACGGUACCUUCAGAGGAAGCACCGGCUAACUCCGUGCCAGCAGCCGCGGUAAUACGGAGGGUGCAAGCGUUGUUCGGAAUUACUGGGCGUAAAGCGCGUGUAGGCGGAUUCGGUAGUCGGGUGUGAAAGCCCUGGGCUCAACCCAGGAAGUGCGCCCGAAACCACGGAUCUUGAGAUCUAGAGGGGAUCGGGGAAUUCCCAGUGUAGAGGUGAAAUUCGUAGAUAUUGGGAGGAACACCGGCGGCGAAGGCGCCGAUCUGGAUAGAAUCUGACGCUGAGACGCGAAAGCGUGGGUAGCAAACAGGAUUAGAUACCCUGGUAGUCCACGCUGUAAACGAUGUGCACUAGGUGUCGGGGGUAUUGACCCUCUCGGUGCCGACGCUAACGCAUUAAGUGCACCGCCUGGGAAGUACG